UUUUAUUUGAGAGUUUGAUCCUGGCUCAGGAUGAACGCUGGCGGCGUGCCUAACACAUGCAAGUUGAGCGAUUUACUUCGGUAAAGAGCGGCGGACGGGUGAGUAACGCGUGGGGAACCUACCCUGUACACACGGAUAACAUACCGAAAGGUAUGCUAAUACGGGAUAAUAUAUUUGAGAGGCAUCUCUUAAAUAUCAAAGGUGAG
This 206-nucleotide ribosomal RNA is filed under the name Clostridioides difficile. Its description in RNAcentral is "partial 16S ribosomal RNA". It matches the Rfam family "Bacterial small subunit ribosomal RNA", at positions 1 to 211 of the family's 1533-position model. Lineage: Bacteria; Bacillati; Bacillota; Clostridia; Peptostreptococcales; Peptostreptococcaceae. The record is from RNAcentral.